UAAUUUAUCUUGGGCAAAUCUUCAUCUAGUUAUGGUAGACUCACACCUGACUGCUUAUAAUCACUAAUUAUUAUAGAAUUGACUACAUCAAAAUUGGUCGGUUUUUUUGUUUUCAAAGAGAUUUAAACUUGAUGCAGACGAAAGCUAUAAACACAAUAAUUAAAG
Molecule: non-coding RNA, 165 nt
Organism: Populus trichocarpa (black cottonwood)
Lineage: Eukaryota; Viridiplantae; Streptophyta; Magnoliopsida; Malpighiales; Salicaceae
Source: Rfam